AUUGAACGCUGGCGGCAGGCUUAACACAUGCAAGUCGAGCGGGGUGAUGGUGCUUGCACUAUCACUUAGCGGCGGACGGGUGAGUAAUGUUUAGGAAUCUGCCUAUUAGUGGGGGACAACAUCUCGAAAGGGAUGCUGAUACCGCAUACGUCCUACGGGAGAAAGCAGGGGAUCACUUGUGACCUUGCGCUAAUAGAUGAGCCUAAGUCGGAUUAGCUAGUUGGGGGGGUAAAGGGCUACCAAGGGGACGAUCUGUAGCGGGUCGGGGAGGAUGAUCCGCCACACUGGGACUGAGACACGGCCCAGGAUCCUACGGGAGGCAGCAGUGGGGAAUAUUGGACAAUGGGGGGAACCCUGAUCCAGCCAUGCCGCGUGUGUGAAGAAGGCCUUAUGGUUGUAAAGCACUUUAAGCGAGGAGGAGGCUCUUUUGGUUAAUACCCAAGAUGAGUGGACGUUACUCGCAGAAUAAGCACCGGCUAACUCUGUGCCAGCCGCCGCCGUAA
RNAcentral lists this ribosomal RNA (503 nucleotides) under uncultured bacterium. RNAcentral describes it as "partial 16S ribosomal RNA". It matches the Rfam family "Bacterial small subunit ribosomal RNA", at positions 30 to 523 of the family's 1533-position model. The record is from RNAcentral.